This 207-nucleotide ribosomal RNA is filed under the name uncultured bacterium. RNAcentral describes it as "partial 16S ribosomal RNA". It matches the Rfam family "Bacterial small subunit ribosomal RNA", at positions 568 to 774 of the family's 1533-position model. The record is from RNAcentral.
CUCGUAGGUGGCCAACUAAGUCAGACGUGAAAUCCCUCAGCUUAACUGGGGAACUGCGUCUGAUACUGGAUGGCUUGAGUUUGGGAGAGGGAUGCGGAAUUCCAGGUGUAGCGGCGAAAUGCGUAGAUAUCUGGAGGAACACCGGUGGCGAAGGCGGCAUCCUGGACCAACACUGACACUGAGGAGCGAAAGCCAGGGGAGCAAACG